AUGAGAUGUUCUACAACUCUUGCCUUAAAGGAAAGAUUUAAUUAGCUCAAAGACUUUCAAACUACAAAUUAUGCCUCAUGGACAAAAGUUGACUCUACCAUGUUAUGUUUUCAUUUAUGAGAUGUUCUACAACUAUUGUCUUAGAGGUAAGACUUAGUUCAAGGACUUUCAAACUACAAAUUAUGUUCCAUGGGCAAAAGUUGACACUACCACGUUAUGUCUUUCAUUUAUGAGAUACUCUACAACUCUUGCCUUAGAGGCAAGACUUAGCUCAAAGACUUUCAAACUACAAAUUAUGCUCCACCGACAAGAGUUGACACUACCACGUUAUGUUUUUAUUUAUGGAAUGUUCUACAACUCUUGCCUUAGAGGCAAGACUUAGCUCAAAGACUUUCAAACUACAAAUUAUGCCCCACGGGCAAGAGUUGACACUACUACAUUAUGCCUUUAUUUAUGAGAUAUUCUAGAACUCUCUCCUUAGAGACACGACUUAUCUUAGAAUUUUCAAAGAACUUCAUAACAACAAUUCAUGCCCUUUAAUUUGCUUUGACAGCAAAAGAAGAAGAUACCUUUGUGGAUUAUUCAAUUUUUUAUUUAUUAGCAAAAUAUAAUAGAAAUUGAGAAAAAAGAAAAAAACGAUGAAAAAAUAGAGAAAUAAAAAAAAUUGAGAAAAAAAGAAAGAAAAAAAUAAAGAUCAAGAAAAAAGCGAAGAAUUAAAAAAUUGAGAAAAAUAAAAAUGAGAGAAAAAACAAAAAUAAAGUUUGAGAAAAAUGAGGGAAAAAAAGAGAACUGAAAAAAGAAAAAAACGAUCAAACAAAAUAGAGAAAUAAAAAAAAAGAGUGAGAAAAAAAAUGCAGGAAAAAAAUAAAGAUUAAGAAAAAAAAUGAAGAAUUAAAGAAAUUGAGAAAAUAAAAAANN
RNAcentral lists this long non-coding RNA (918 nucleotides) under Capsicum annuum. RNAcentral's name for it is "long non-coding RNA (CANN_LNC021770)". Lineage: Eukaryota; Viridiplantae; Streptophyta; Magnoliopsida; Solanales; Solanaceae. The record is from RNAcentral.